CAGCAGCCACGGGAAUACGGAGGGUGCAAGCGUUAAUCGGAAUUACUGGGCGUAAAGCGCACGCAGGCGGUCUGACAAGUCAGAUGUGAAAUCCCCGGGCUUAACCUGGGAACUGCAUUUGAAACUGUCAGGCUGGAGUCUUGUAGAGGGGGGUGGAAUUCCAGGUGUAGCGGUGAAAUGCGUAGAGAUCUGGAGGAAUACCGGUGGCGAAGGCGGCCCCCUGGACAAAGACUGACGCUCAGGUGCGAAAGCGUGGGGAGCAAACAGGAUUAGAUACCCGGGUAGUCCCUGUCUCUUAUAC
Molecule: ribosomal RNA, 301 nt
Filed under: uncultured bacterium
Lineage: Bacteria
Description: partial 16S ribosomal RNA
Rfam family: Bacterial small subunit ribosomal RNA
Source: RNAcentral